This is a small nuclear RNA of Molossus molossus (Pallas's mastiff bat), 104 nucleotides long. The record is from RefSeq and is a predicted model, not a curated record. NCBI's taxonomy places the organism in Eukaryota, Metazoa, Chordata, Mammalia, Chiroptera, Molossidae.
GUGCUCGCUUCGACAGCACAUGUACUAAAACUAGAACGACACAGAGAUUAGCAUGGCCCCUGCGCAAGGAUGAUAGGCAAAUUCAUGAAGUGUUCUAUAAAAAA